RNAcentral lists this ribosomal RNA (846 nucleotides) under uncultured bacterium. RNAcentral describes it as "bacterial SSU rRNA". It matches the Rfam family "Bacterial small subunit ribosomal RNA", at positions 28 to 895 of the family's 1533-position model. The record is from RNAcentral.
GAUAAACGCUGGCGGCGUGCCUUAAACAUGCAAGUCGAACGGCUCUUCUUAGGAAGGGCAGUGGCAGACGGCUGAGUAACACGUAAGUAACCUAGCCUCAAGUGGGGAAUAACUGCGAGAAAUCGUAGCUAAUACCGCAUGUGGUCUGUAGGGCGGAGGCUCUGCAGAGUAAAGCUGGAAGGUGCUUGAGGGGGGGCUUGCGACCGAUUAGCUAGAUGGUGAGGUAAAGGCUCACCAUGGCGAUGAUCGGUAGCUGGUCUGAGAGGAUGAUCAGCCAGACUGGGACUGAGACACGGCCCAGACUCCUACGGGAGGCAGCAGUUAGGAAUUUUGGGCAAUGGGCGAAAGCCUGACCCAGCAACGCCGCGUGGGUGAAGAAGGUCUUCGGAUCGUAAAGCCCUUUUCUGUGGGAAGAGGGAGGACGGUACCACAGGAAUAAGCCUCGGCUAACUACGUGCCAGCAGCCGCGGUAAUACGUAGGAGGCGAGCGUUGUCCGGAUUUACUGGGCGUAAAGCGCGCGCAGGUGGCUGGAUAAGUUGGAUGUGAAAGACCCUGGCUUAACUAGGGGAGGCCAUUCAAAACUAUCCAGCUUGAGGGCAGCAGAGGAAAGUGGAAUUCCCGGUGUAGUGGUGAAAUGCGUAGAUAUCGGGAGGAACACCAGUGGCGAAGGCGGCUUUCUGGGCUGUCGCUGACGCUGAGGCGCGAAGGCGUGGGGAGCGAACCGGAUUAGAUACCCGGGUAGUCCACGCGGUAAACGAUGGACACUAGGUGUAGGGGGUAUCGACCCCCUCUGUGCCGAAGCUAACGCAUUAAGUGUCCCGCCUGGGGAGUACGGCCGCAAGGCU